This 257-nucleotide ribosomal RNA is filed under the name uncultured bacterium. Its description in RNAcentral is "partial 16S ribosomal RNA". It matches the Rfam family "Bacterial small subunit ribosomal RNA", at positions 1244 to 1500 of the family's 1533-position model. The record is from RNAcentral.
GAGAAGCAAUACCGCGAGGUGGAGCAAAACUUCAAAAAUAGGUCUCAGUUCGGACUGUAGGCUGCAACUCGCCUACACGAAGUUGGAAUUGCUAGUAAUCGUGGAUCAGCAUGCCACGGUGAAUACGUUCCCGGGUCUUGUACACACCGCCCGUCACACCAUGGGAGCUGGUAACACCCGAAGUCAGUAGUCUAACCGCAAGGAGGACGCUGCCGAAGGUGGGAUUAGCGACUGGGGUGAAGUCGUAACAAGGUAUC